This 477-nucleotide ribosomal RNA is filed under the name uncultured bacterium. RNAcentral's name for it is "bacterial SSU rRNA". It matches the Rfam family "Bacterial small subunit ribosomal RNA", at positions 501 to 981 of the family's 1533-position model. The record is from RNAcentral.
CUACGUGCCAGCAGCCGCGGUAAUACGGAAGGUCCGGGCGUUAUCCGGAUUUAUUGGGUUUAAAGGGAGCGUAGGCUGGAGAUUAAGUGUGUUGUGAAAUGUAGACGCUCAACGUCUGAAUUGCAGCGCAUACUGGUUUCCUUGAGUACGCACAACGUUGGCGGAAUUCGUCGUGUAGCGGUGAAAUGCUUAGAUAUGACGAAGAACUCCGAUUGCGAAGGCAGCUGACGGGAGCGCAACUGACGCUUAAGCUCGAAGGUGCGGGUAUCAAACAGGAUUAGAUACCCUGGUAGUCCGCACAGUAAACGAUGGAUGCCCGCUGUUGGUACCUGGUAUCAGCGGCUAAGCGAAAGCAUUAAGCAUCCCACCUGGGGAGUACGCCGGCAACGGUGAAACUCAAAGGAAUUGACGGGGGCCCGCACAAGCGGAGGAACAUGUGGUUUAAUUCGAUGAUACGCGAGGAACCUUACCCGGGCU